CUUCGGUCUCCCCGCACCACGACCCCGUGAACCCCGUCAGGCCCGGAAGGGAGCAGCGGCAGCGGGUGAUGUGGGUGACGGGAUCGGGCGGUUGGGG
Molecule: signal recognition particle RNA, 97 nt
Filed under: Wenzhouxiangella sp. XN79A
Lineage: Bacteria; Pseudomonadati; Pseudomonadota; Gammaproteobacteria; Chromatiales; Wenzhouxiangellaceae
Description: signal recognition particle sRNA small type
Rfam family: Bacterial small signal recognition particle RNA
About the family: The signal recognition particle (SRP) is a universally conserved ribonucleoprotein involved in the co-translational targeting of proteins to membranes. Archaeal SRP consists of a 7S RNA and homologues of the eukaryotic SRP19 and SRP54 proteins.
Source: RNAcentral